GGCUAGCACCAAGUCUACCACCCUACUUCCAUGAAAACGAAAAGCUGGUAUUAUGAGGAAAGUAUGCUAACUCAGUGCCUAAAUACUUAGAUUAAAAAGUUUUACCUUCAUAAAAUCUUGUAAUCAAAAGAAUUCAAUUCUUACGAUGGUAAAAAUCUGGCCUUGUGAAAAUGGUAAAUCACAUCAAUGCCGUUGAGUAACAAAACCACAAGUAAAAGAACGAAAAUGGUCACCUCCUGUGCAAUAACAAUGCUAGAAAUUAUCAAAGGUGAAGUGAGUGGCCUAUUGUCCAGCGCUCCAAAGUUACAAAACAUGUCAACAUACAAAAAGUGUCAACUCUUUCCUUUUCCCAUUAGCUGAUGAACGGGUCUUCAUGAGCAAGUUAUGCAAAUUUACAGAUAUGCUUGCUUACA
This 413-nucleotide unclassified non-coding RNA is filed under the name Hevea brasiliensis (rubber tree). Lineage: Eukaryota; Viridiplantae; Streptophyta; Magnoliopsida; Malpighiales; Euphorbiaceae. The record is from RNAcentral.